Molecule: ribosomal RNA, 460 nt
Filed under: uncultured bacterium
Lineage: Bacteria
Description: partial 16S ribosomal RNA
Rfam family: Bacterial small subunit ribosomal RNA
Source: RNAcentral
CCUACGGGAGGCAGCAGUGAGGAAUAUUGGUCAAUGGACGCAAGUCUGAACCAGCCAUGCCGCGUGCAGGAAGACGGCUCUAUGAGUUGUAAACUGCUUUUGUACGAGGGUAAACGCAGAUACGUGUAUCUGUCUGAAAGUAUCGUACGAAUAAGGAUCGGCUAACUCAGUGCCAGCAGCCGCGGUAAUCCGGACGAUUCAAGCGUUAUCCGGCUUUAUUUGGUUUAACGGGUGCGUCGGCGGUCGGAUAAGUUAGAGGUGAAAUCCCGAGGCUCAACUUCGGAAUUGCCGCUGAUACUGUUCGGCUAGAGAGUAGUUGCGGUAGGCGGAAUGUAUGGUGUAGCGGUGAAAUGCUUAGAGAUCAUACAGAACAACGAUUGCGAAGGCAGCUUACCAAGCUACGUCUGACGUUGAGGCACGAAAGCGUGGGGAGCAAACAGGAUUAGAGACCCCAGUAGUC